GCUGGAGGCGCGGUGGUGCACGCCUGUAAUCCCAAGGGCUUGGGAGGCUGAGGCAGGAGGAUCAUGAGUUCAAAGCCAGCCUCAGCAACUUAGUGAGGCCCUAAGCAACUCAGUGAGACCCUGUCUCUA
Molecule: small RNA, 129 nt
Filed under: Marmota monax (woodchuck)
Lineage: Eukaryota; Metazoa; Chordata; Mammalia; Rodentia; Sciuridae
Source: RNAcentral